UUGAACGCUGGCGGCAUGCUUUACACAUGCAAGUCGAACGGCAGCGGGGGCUUCGGCCUGCCGGCGAGUGGCGAACGGGUGAGUAAUGCAUCGGAACGUACCCAGUCGUGGGGGAUAACUACGCGAAAGCGUAGCUAAUACCGCAUACGCCCUGAGGGGGAAAGCGGGGGACCUUCGGGCCUCGCGCGAUUGGAGCGGCUGAUGUCGGAUUAGCUAGUUGGUGGGGUAAAGGCCUACCAAGGCGACGAUCCGUAGCUGGUCUGAGAGGAUGAUCAGCCACACUGGGACUGCGACACGGCCCAGACUCCUACGGGAGGCAGCAGUGGGGAAUUUUGGACAAUGGGCGCAAGCCUGAUCCAGCCAUGCCGCGUGAGUGAAGAAGGCCUUCGGGUUGUAAAGCUCUUUCAGCCGGAAAGAAAUUGGUUGUAUUAAUACUAUGAGUAGAUGACGGUACCGUAAGAAGAAGCACCGGCUAACUACGU
Molecule: ribosomal RNA, 482 nt
Filed under: uncultured bacterium
Lineage: Bacteria
Description: bacterial SSU rRNA
Rfam family: Bacterial small subunit ribosomal RNA
Source: RNAcentral